This 1487-nucleotide ribosomal RNA is filed under the name Shigella sonnei. RNAcentral's name for it is "bacterial LSU rRNA". It matches the Rfam family "Bacterial large subunit ribosomal RNA", at positions 1463 to 2925 of the family's 2925-position model. The record is from RNAcentral. Lineage: Bacteria; Pseudomonadati; Pseudomonadota; Gammaproteobacteria; Enterobacterales; Enterobacteriaceae.
GAAGGGGGGACGGAGAAGGCUAUGUUGGCCGGGCGACGGUUGUCCCGGUUUAAGCGUGUAGGCUGGUUUUCCAGGCAAAUCCGGAAAAUCAAGGCUGAGGCGUGAUGACGAGGCACUACGGUGCUGAAGCAACAAAUGCCCUGCUUCCAGGAAAAGCCUCUAAGCAUCAGGUAACAUCAAAUCGUACCCCAAACCGACACAGGUGGUCAGGUAGAGAAUACCAAGGCGCUUGAGAGAACUCGGGUGAAGGAACUAGGCAAAAUGGUGCCGUAACUUCGGGAGAAGGCACGCUGAUAUGUAGGUGAAGUCCCUUGCGGAUGGAGCUGAAAUCAGUCGAAGAUACCAGCUGGCUGCAACUGUUUAUUAAAAACACAGCACUGUGCAAACACGAAAGUGGACGUAUACGGUGUGACGCCUGCCCGGUGCCGGAAGGUUAAUUGAUGGGGUCAGCGCAAGCGAAGCUCUUGAUCGAAGCCCCGGUAAACGGCGGCCGUAACUAUAACGGUCCUAAGGUAGCGAAAUUCCUUGUCGGGUAAGUUCCGACCUGCACGAAUGGCGUAAUGAUGGCCAGGCUGUCUCCACCCGAGACUCAGUGAAAUUGAACUCGCUGUGAAGAUGCAGUGUACCCGCGGCAAGACGGAAAGACCCCGUGAACCUUUACUAUAGCUUGACACUGAACAUUGAGCCUUGAUGUGUAGGAUAGGUGGGAGGCUUUGAAGUGUGGACGCCAGUCUGCAUGGAGCCGGCCUUGAAAUACCACCCUUUAAUGUUUGAUGUUCUAACGUGGACCCGUGAUCCGGGUUGCGGACAGUGUCUGGUGGGUAGUUUGACUGGGGCGGUCUCCUCCUAAAGAGUAACGGAGGAGCACGAAGGUUGGCUAAUCCUGGUCGGACAUCAGGAGGUUAGUGCAAUGGCAUAAGCCAGCUUGACUGCGAGCGUGACGGCGCGAGCAGGUGCGAAAGCAGGUCAUAGUGAUCCGGUGGUUCUGAAUGGAAGGGCCAUCGCUCAACGGAUAAAAGGUACUCCGGGGAUAACAGGCUGAUACCGCCCAAGAGUUCAUAUCGACGGCGGUGUUUGGCACCUCGAUGUCGGCUCAUCACAUCCUGGGGCUGAAGUAGGUCCCAAGGGUAUGGCUGUUCGCCAUUUAAAGUGGUACGCGAGCUGGGUUUAGAACGUCGUGAGACAGUUCGGUCCCUAUCUGCCGUGGGCGCUGGAGAACUGAGGGGGGCUGCUCCUAGUACGAGAGGACCGGAGUGGACGCAUCACUGGUGUUCGGGUUGUCAUGCCAAUGGCACUGCCCGGUAGCUAAAUGCGGAAGAGAUAAGUGCUGAAAGCAUCUAAGCACGAAACUUGCCCCGAGAUGAGUUCUCCCUGACCCUUUAAGGGUCCUGAAGGAACGUUGAAGACGACGACGUUGAUAGGCCGGGUGUGUAAGCGCAGCGAUGCGUUGAGCUAACCGGUACUAAUGAACCGUGAGGCUUAACCUU